RNAcentral lists this ribosomal RNA (271 nucleotides) under uncultured prokaryote. Its description in RNAcentral is "partial 16S ribosomal RNA". It matches the Rfam family "Bacterial small subunit ribosomal RNA", at positions 524 to 794 of the family's 1533-position model. The record is from RNAcentral.
UACGGAGGAUCCGAGCGUUAUCCGGAUUUAUUGGGUUUAAAGGGUGCGCAGGCGGGAGAUUAAGUCGGCGGUGAAAUUUUGCAGCUCAACUGUAAAAGUGCCUUCGAAACUGGUUUCCUUGAGUGUAGAUGAAGUAGGCGGAAUUUGUGGUGUAGCGGUGAAAUGCAUAGAUAUCACGAGGAACUCCGAUUGCGCAGGCAGCUUACUAAACUACUACUGACGCUCAGGCACGAAGGCGUGGGGAUCAAACAGGAUUAGAUACCCUGGUAGU